RNAcentral lists this ribosomal RNA (640 nucleotides) under Udeniomyces sp. PDD-32b-1. Its description in RNAcentral is "partial 26S ribosomal RNA". Lineage: Eukaryota; Fungi; Basidiomycota; Tremellomycetes; Cystofilobasidiales; Mrakiaceae. The record is from RNAcentral.
UCCGUGGUUCAAGACGGGUCGUUUAAAGCCAUUAUGCCAGCAUCCUAAGCGCGUUCGUGUCCGAAGACCGACCAUAAAGGCACGCUGCGUUCCUCAGUCCCGUCCGAUGCAUGUGAAAGAGGGCUAUAACACAUCCGAGGAUGCCACGUUCCCUCCAACUUUUUCCACCGGUCGAAACUGAUGCUGGCCUGUAGUCUGAGGAAUACACCGGCAGAACCGGCUGAACCUCAAACCACAUGACUGACUUCAAUCGUUUCCCUUUCAACAAUUUCACGUACUGUUUAACUCUCUUUCCAAAGUGCUUUUCAUCUUUCCCUCACGGUACUUGUUCGCUAUCGGUCUCUCGCCAAUAUUUAGCUUUAGAUGGAAUUUACCACCCAUUUUGAGCUGCAUUCCCAAACAACUCGACUCUUCGAGAGCGCAUCGCAGAGCAUAGAUGAUCUGUGUCAAGGACGGGAUUCUCACCCUCUAUGACGCCCUAUUCCAAGGGACUUGUACACAGGCCUACGCGGAAAACGCUUCUCUAGACUACAACUCGGACACAUCUUAGACUGCCAGAUUUUAAAUUUGAGCUCAUCCCGCUUCACUCGCCGUUACUAGGGGAAUCCUUGUUAGUUUCUUUUCCUCCGCUUAGUGAUAU